CAGAUGGUAAUAUAUACCCUUGGUUAGUUGGUUUCUCUCUCCACCUUCCCCCCUAAAAUUUUAAAUUUCAAAGCCAUUUCUCAAUUUACCAUCUUUAGUCGCGCGUUCCACACCGCACUCAAACAGUGAAACCCUAAGACACAUCACUGUACACUGGUGUCAUUCAGUCGCCGGCCACCGCAUUCCCCGUCGCUCCCUUAGCGCAGCCACCGUGUUCGCUUUUCUAUUUCCAUCAGAAGUUCAGAUCUGAAGAAGUACAAACCCUAAUCUACUAUGAAAGGACUCAAACAUGAAGAGGGUCCAUUAAUGGGGUUGUCAGAAGAUCUGAUCCUUGAAAUCCUAUUUCGAUCAACCAUAAGAUCAUUAGGAAGACUCUGUUGUGUCUCCAAAAAGUUGGAUACCCUUAUCUCAAACCCCGGUUUUGCCAUAUCUCGUCUCAAUUUUUCGAACGCUACCACUCCACCCUUAACCCUUGCUAUGCAGAAAUAUAAUACCAUUUCCUCUCUGAAGUUUAGAAGUUCCACCGAUAUUACUAAGGGCGUAAACUUAAUUGGAUUGGACAGACAAUUUGAUGAUGACAACUCUUUUGAUGGGUGUUACUUUUUUAUUGUUGGAUCAUGUCAUGGCCUUUUGUGUCUUUACAUUAAGGAGAAGAAGAAACGUGGCAAAGAUUUGAUGUAUCUUUGGAACCCUACCACCAACGAAUCCAGAAAAAUCUCAUUGCCUGUAGAACGGAGUUUAACUUAUGUUAAGGUAGACUCUUGCUGGUUUGGCUUUCUUCCCUCCUUAAAUGACUAUAAGAUCCUGUUAGUUUACACAGUGUAUAAGCCGGCGUAUGCAGAUCACAUGUAUUUAUACUCGUUAAGGAAUAAAAGAUGGGAAGAAGUUCGUGUAUGUGAUAAAGAUUUGUCUUCCAUUUCGCAAUCUGACUCAGUUUUCAUGGAUGAAGCACUGCAUUACCUCAUUCGUCGCCAAUGCAUAUUUAAAUUUGAUUUGGUUACUGAGACUUUGAAGAGGAUAUCCAUCUCAUUCGCGCCAGAAUUAUUUUCAAAUGCAUAUCAGACGUAUCUUAGUGUCAUUGGAGAAUAUGAUUGUCUAUGUGUUGGGUUUGUACAUCACUCCAAGAAAAACGUCCAGAGAGUAUCUGAUGACGACUCUGAGGGGGAUGAGGGUGAUAAAUGGAUGUUCGAGUUGUGGAUGUUAGAGGAAUAUAACAACUGGGGUUCGUGGAAAAAGUUGUACAACAUUGACUUGCAGGAAAAGAUUGCUAGACGUUGCACCCAAUUUUUAGGGAUCACAUAUAGUGGCCUUCUUUGUUUUCUAAAUGUGCAUGACAGACUUGUGCUUAUUGACCCAAGUUGGGAUCCACCUUCACAUGUCAUCGUUGGGAAUUGUGCAAAGGUUUACAAGUUGAUCAGUUAUGUGAGGAGUCUUGUUUCCCCUUCCUCUCCUUUUGUUGUUGAUGAUGAUGAGCAACCAGGUGGGAAUUCAUGCCUUCGAACGAGCUUUCGGCUUCCUCCUUGCCCAUGGAUUGCCGUAAGUGGUGGUGUAAAUGUUGAUGCUACAGAUGAUGAUGAUGAUGAAGAAGAAGAUGAUGAUGGGGCUGAUAGUGAUGACGAUGAUGGUGAUGACCAUAACAAUGAUGGGGGUGAUAGUGAUGACAGUGAUGAUGACGAUGAUGGUGAUGACCACGACGACGAUGAUGAUGGGGGUGGUGAUGAAGAUGAAGAAGAUGGUGGUGGCGGCAUUAAUUUGACUUUGAGUUUAUAGGAGAUUUCUUUGUAGCUUCUGCAAUCGAACUAUAUUUGUAGUUCUAUCUAUGAUUACUCAUCAGUGAGUUGUUAAAUGGAUCAAUUACUGCUUUUAGGAUCUUUUAAUUCUCUUUGGGACUACAUGGAGUAAACAGAGUGGGUCUUUUGGAAGUGGUAGACAGUUGAUGCGUAACAAUAGACAGCAAAAACAGGAUUGGAGUUGUCAAGGAGAUCUUUUGGGGAUGUGCAGUCAGAGGUGUGAGGGUUGUUUUAACUCGGAUUUUGUCAUUCUGAUUCAGGAGUUGGAAUCUGGUAACUUGCAGCUGAACCUGGCGUUACACUGAUGAUGUAAAGGAAGAUCAUGUUUGUUCAUUGUCCAUGAUAUCCUCUCUUAUGCUUUAGUACUUCUGUUUGAUGCAGGUGUCGUUGGUAGCUGUGGUGGUGGUGCAGGUGGUGGACCAACAUCAUUAACAUUACCAUAAAAGGAGUAGAUUUCAUACCGAAGAUUGCAGCUAGGUGUAAUCACCCUUGCUCCUGCGGCAAUAAAUGUAGGCGUAACAAAAUAUUUGGACACAUAUCACACAGUCAACCCUUGACAAAUCUGGAUUACACUGAACAAGUCCAUACAUGGUUUGAUUUGUACUAGUAAUAUUUAUCUGUGCAGCAGCAGAUUUCAGCUCAGAAUUCCCCAAUGAAGCCUUAUUUUGCAAGGUACUCAUCAAAAAAUUGUCAGUGUACCCGAAAGCCUCUGUUUGGUUAGGACAUAACAUCGGAAGAGUGGCAGCCGAGUCACGGAUACAUAGCCGGCAAGUGUUGUAAGGUACGUCACCUCUGCAUAGGACCAUGGCUUUGACUUUGUUAGGAGUUUGACCCGCGGUGAAGUUGUAGUAGCCAUUGGUGAGUCGAAGGGUUGAGGAUAGAGAGUUGAGGGCUGUUUUGA
Molecule: RNA transcript, 2691 nt
Organism: Spinacia oleracea (spinach)
Lineage: Eukaryota; Viridiplantae; Streptophyta; Magnoliopsida; Caryophyllales; Amaranthaceae
Gene name: F-box protein At3g07870
Exons: 4
Source: RefSeq, a predicted model, not a curated record